This 433-nucleotide ribosomal RNA is filed under the name uncultured bacterium. RNAcentral's name for it is "partial 16S ribosomal RNA". It matches the Rfam family "Bacterial small subunit ribosomal RNA", at positions 29 to 507 of the family's 1533-position model. The record is from RNAcentral.
AACGAACGCUGGCGGCAUGCCUAACACAUGCAAGUCGAACGAGACCUUCGGGUCUAGUGGCGCACGGGUGCGUAACGCGUGAGAACCUGCCCUUAGGUUCGGAAUAACUCCCCGAAAGGGGUGCUAAUACCGGAUAAUGUCGUCGGACCAAAGAUUUAUCGCCUUUGGAUGGGCCCGCGUUGGAUUAGCUAGUUGGUAGGGUAAAAGCCUACCAAGGCGACGAUCCAUAGCUGGUCUGAGAGGAUGAUCAGCCACACUGGGACUGAGACACGGCCCAGACUCCUACGGGAGGCAGCAGUGGGGAAUAUUGGACAAUGGGCGAAAGCCUGAUCCAGCAAUGCCGCGUGAGUGAUGAAGGCCUUAGGGUUGUAAAGCUCUUUUACCCGGGAUGAUAAUGACAGUACCGGGAGAAUAAGCUCCGGCUAACUCCGUG